UCCGUGCUCGGCUUGGACCGUCCUCGAGAAUAUCACCCCGCACCCGCCUGUCUGCACCGGACGUGACGUAACGUAACCCUGUAUCAGCAAAAUUAUAACGGGUCUGCGUGCUCACUGGCAGAGCUUCGACAUGGGUUAGACGCACAGGGGGACGUCUCCGGCACCCAAGACAAGCAGCGAUCAAGUGGCACUAAUCCAGGUUCCUGCAGAGGAGUGCCGAGUUCGUUUGGGUUGAUUGUGUUUGUUUUGUUUUCUUUCCAUAAGGCAUCUGCGUAGAGGUCAAGAGAGUCCUAUUGGCGUAUUACCACAAGGCGGCAGCAAAACGUGCAUAACGAGUAGGCUGUGAUAUCCCUGCUGUUGGGCUAACUUUACAUUUACAUUCAAUGGCCGCAUUUUAUUAAGUUUAAUUAAAAUAAUGAGAAGUACUUUAUUCAUCCCAAGUGAAAUAUGAUGGUUUUAUCUGUGGUAUUUAAAACUGUAGUUGCUAAUUUCUUGUUCCACUUUGACGGAUGUUGUAUGGACGUUUGAGUGUGGUUUGUGAACUUUGUUCUGUUCCUUCUGCCACGCGUUUUUGAUUGAGUUUAAACCAACUGCAUAUUAGCUUUACUUCCAACAUUGCCACAAAAUUAGCAAUUUUAGGCAAAUUAAAAUUAAAUGCAUAAAAGCACAGAUUUUUAUGUGCAAAUUCUGGAUUAAAAGAUUAUAUUGUUGUCAUAAAACUGUCAUCAAUAAAAUGUUUUAAUGAAGUUGGGGUUACUCCAGAUACUCACAAAAAAGGACUUUUUUGGCCUGUGGUUUAAUGGAAGCAUACAGAAUAAGAGCAUAUGUACAAAUUUCAAUGUUCUUGACAAAGGUGGAAAUAAACACAAAUAACCCAU
Molecule: long non-coding RNA, 878 nt
Organism: Electrophorus electricus (electric eel)
Lineage: Eukaryota; Metazoa; Chordata; Actinopteri; Gymnotiformes; Gymnotidae
Source: RefSeq, a predicted model, not a curated record